CACACCAUGGGAGUGGACUGCACCAGAAAUGGUUAGCCUAACCUUCGGGAGGGCGAUCACCACGGUGUGGUUCAUGACUGGGGUGAAGUCGUAACAAGGUAGCCCUAGGGGAACCUGGGGCUGGAUCACCUCCUUAUCGACACUGUCUACUGCUCGCGGCAAGUGCUCACAACGAAUUACCUGAUCAAGUUAGUUUAUCGAGUAGUAGUGUCGGGUCUGUAGCUCAGUUGGUUAGAGCGCACCCCUGAUAAGGGUGAGGUCGGCAGUUCAAAUCUGCCCAGACCCACCAAAAGCUUCGUGCUUUUGUCGACACGGUUUUGCCGACUUUGGGGCCAUAGCUCAGCUGGGAGAGCGCCUGCCUUGCACGCAGGAGGUCAGCGGUUCGAUCCCGCUUGGCUCCACCAUGAAAGUCCGGUUCAGCUUCUACUACCUGAUAACGCUGCACAGUCCACAGUGACAAGCAUAUCGCCUUCCUCGUGAAGGUUGUGUGACUUCUCACUGUUCUCUGAACAGCCGCUCUUUAACAAUGUGAAUCAUGCUGACGAUAGAUAUGUGCGCCAAGCGCAUGUCUAUCAAACGAUAUGUCGGAGAGGUCCGACAGAUUCGUAAUCCUUGACAGACCCCUUGGGGUUAUAUGGUCAAGCGAUUAAGCGCAUACGGUGGAUGCCUUGGCAGCCAGAGGCGAUGAAGGACGUGAUAGCCUGCGAUAAGCGUUGGCGAGGUGGCAAAUACCCUGCGACCCAAC
RNAcentral lists this unclassified non-coding RNA (745 nucleotides) under Halomonas sp. V3a. RNAcentral describes it as "partial contains 16S ribosomal RNA, 16S-23S ribosomal RNA intergenic spacer, and 23S ribosomal RNA". The stretch from base 1 to 136 matches the Rfam family "Bacterial small subunit ribosomal RNA", at positions 1398 to 1533 of the family's 1533-position model. RNAcentral also lists the same sequence under 1 other name. Lineage: Bacteria; Pseudomonadati; Pseudomonadota; Gammaproteobacteria; Oceanospirillales; Halomonadaceae. The record is from RNAcentral.